Molecule: ribosomal RNA, 460 nt
Filed under: uncultured bacterium
Lineage: Bacteria
Description: partial 16S ribosomal RNA
Rfam family: Bacterial small subunit ribosomal RNA
Source: RNAcentral
CCUACGGGAGGCAGCAGUGAGGAAUAUUGGUCAAUGGGCUUACGCCUGAACCAGCCAAGUCGCGUGAGGGAAGACUGCCCUAUGGGUUGUAAACCUCUUUUGUCAGGGAGCAAUUGGCGCUACGUGUAGCGUUAUCGAGAGUACCUGAAGAAAAAGCAUCGGCUAACUCCGUGCCAGCAGCCGCGGUAAUACGGAGGAUGCGAGCGUUAUCCGGAUUUAUUGGGUUUAAAGGGUGCGUAGGCGGAAUGCCAAGUCAGCGGUAAAAUCGCGGGGCUCAACCUCGCUCCGCCGUUGAAACUGGCGUUCUUGAGUGGGCGAGAAGUAAGCGGAAUUCCGGGUGGAGCGGUGAAAUGCGUAGAGAUCAGGAGGAACACCGGUGGCGAAGGCGGCUUACUGGACAGUGACUGACGUUGAGGCGCGAAAGCGUGGGGAGCGAACAGGAUUAGAUACCCCUGUAGUC